RNAcentral lists this ribosomal RNA (599 nucleotides) under Schizosaccharomyces osmophilus. Its description in RNAcentral is "partial 26S ribosomal RNA". It matches the Rfam family "Eukaryotic large subunit ribosomal RNA", at positions 92 to 664 of the family's 3401-position model. The record is from RNAcentral. Lineage: Eukaryota; Fungi; Ascomycota; Schizosaccharomycetes; Schizosaccharomycetales; Schizosaccharomycetaceae.
GUUGAAGCGGGAAAAGCUCAAAUUUGAAAUCUGGCAACAUUUCUUUUGUUGUCCGAGUUGUAAUUUCAAGAGGCUGCUUUGAGUGUACACGAUUUACCUAAGUUCCUUGGAACAGGACGUCAUAGAGGGUGAGAACCCCGUCUUUGGUAAAUUGGGCGUAUGCCGGAUAAAGCGCUUUCGAAGAGUCGAGUUGUUUGGGAAUGCAGCUCUAAAUGGGUGGUAAAUUUCAUCUAAAGCUAAAUAUUGGCGAGAGACCGAUAGCGAACAAGUAGAGUGAUCGAAAGAUGAAAAGAACUUUGAAAAGAGAGUUAAAUAGUACGUGAAAUUGCUGAAAGGACGAAGCAUUGGAAACCAGUCUUACCCGGGUGAGAUCAGUUGUCUUUUCGCAAGACAAUGCACUCUGAACCUGUUGGUAGGUCAGCAUCAGUUUCUGGGGGUGGAAAAAGGAUUUAGGAAGGUACCUUUUCGGGUUUUGCUUGAAGAGGGUUUAUAGCCUAGAUUGUAAUACAUCCACUGGGGACUGAGGACUGCGAUCUUUAUGGUCAAGGAUGUUGACAUAAUGGUUUUCAAUGACCCGUCUUGAAACCACAGGACCCAAA